RNAcentral lists this ribosomal RNA (508 nucleotides) under uncultured bacterium. Its description in RNAcentral is "bacterial SSU rRNA". It matches the Rfam family "Bacterial small subunit ribosomal RNA", at positions 28 to 520 of the family's 1533-position model. The record is from RNAcentral.
GAUGAACGCUGGCGGCGUGCUUAACACAUGCAAGUCGAACGAACUGUUCUAGAGGAAGUUUUCGGAUGGAAUCUAGGAUAGUUAGUGGCGAACGGGUGAGUAAUGCAUCGGAACGUGCCCAGUCAUGGGGGAUAACUACGCGAAAGCGUAGCUAAUACCGCAUACGCCCUGAGGGGGAAAUGGGGGAUCUUCGGACCUCGCGCGAUUGGAGCGGCCGAUGUCGGAUUAGCUAGUUGGUGGGGUAAAAGCCCACCAAGGCGACGAUCCGUAGCGGGUCUGAGAGGAUGAUCCGCCACACUGGGACUGAGACACGGCCCAGACUCCUACGGGAGGCAGCAGUGGGGAAUAUUGGUCAAUGGACGCAAGUCUGAACCAGCCACGUCGCGUGAAGGAAGACGGCCCUACGGGUUGUAAACUUCUUUUAUACGGGAAUAAAGUGCCCCACGCGUGGGGUUUUGGCAUGUACCGUAUGAAUAAGGAUCGGCUAACUCCGUGCCAGCAGCCGCGG